GUGAUGCAAAAGGCUCGAGUGGUGGAAACCGGAAGGCAGGGGCUUUCGGUCCUUUCAAGUGUGCUACGGAGCGCCUGGGGAUCCUUGGGUCAAGCUGAAGCUGGGGGCGCAGUCCCCACCCAUCCUCCAGGAUGAGGUGGGCACGCGCGGCCGUGGAGAGGCUGUGCCAGCGCGCGCGCAGGGUGGACUUUCUGCGCGAGACCUGCCGGCAAUACCCUUUGUUUUGCUGUAUCUUUUUGGGGUUCAGUGUGGCAACGCUCCUGCUCAGCCGGUAUCGUCACAUCUUAAUGAUCUUCUGGUCUUUUGUGGCGGGAUUUGUAACAUUCUAUUGUUACUUAGGACCAGAUACCCUCUUACCAAAUAUUCUGUUUACAAUAAAACAAAAAUCCAAGCAAUUAAAAUUGCAAGAACAAUCUUCCCAGAAUGGCAGUUGUGCUAUAUGUGGAGAUAUCAAAUGUAGUAGACAUGGACCUGCAUCGCUACUAGAAGAUUAUCAGCCUUGGCUGGGCCUAAAAGUUCCUUCUAAAGUUGAUACUUCUUUAUCAGAGAUGUUUGAGCUAGUACUAGAAAACUUUAUUUAUCCUUGGUACAGACAGAUAACUGAUGAUGAAUCAUCCGUGGAUGAACUAAGAGUAACAUUACGAUUUUUUGCAUCUGUGUUACUUCGCAGAAUUUACAAGGUGAAUAUUCCAACUGUUACAACAACAAAAAUGCUGAAAGCAGCAAUGAAACACAUAGAAGUAAUAGCUAAAGCUAGACAGAAAGUAAAAAAUACAGAAUAUUUACAGCAAGCAGCUUUAGAAGAAUAUGGACCAUCACUCCAUGUGGCUUUGAGAAGUAGAAGAGAUGAACUCAAUUAUUUAAGAAAACUUACUGAACUUCUUUUUUCCUAUAUUCUGCUUCCAAAGGCAACAGAUUGCGGGACAUUCACCUUACUCAUAAGAGAAAUCCUAUCGGGUUCUGUUUUCCUUCCCUCUAUGGACUACUUAGCUGAUCCGGAUACUGUGAACCACUUAAUACUUAUCUUCAUUGAUGAUAGACCACCUGAAAUAGCAACUGAACCUGCUUCACCUUUGGUUCCUUUCUUGCAGAAAUUUGCAGAACCUAGAAGCAAAAAAUCUUCUGCCUUGCACUUUGAACUGAAAGAAUUUGAAGACAAGCAGGAUCUUUUCUUUCUAUUUAUGAGUUUUUUGAAGAAAGAAGGAAAAGUACACGUAUUGCAAUUUUACCUGGAGUUAGAGCAAUUUAAUAAUAGAAUUUUGCAGGCAGAAUUAUCAGAUUCUGAGAAAAUGUCCCUCCAUGAAGAAGUCAAGAAAAUCUAUGAAACAUAUUGCUUAGAUGAAAGCAUUGACAAAAUUAAAUUUGAUUCAUUCAUUGUGGAAGAGAUACAAAGUAUUGCUGAAGGCCCCUAUAAGGAAGUUGUGAAGCUACAACAAAUGCGGUGUUUCUUUGAAGCCUAUGAACAAGUUUUCUCGCUCUUAGAGAAUGUCUUCAUACCUAAAUUCUGCCACACAUAUGAGUAUUUCAAGUACCUCUUUCAAGAAGUUGAAUCCCCAACACGCAAUUCCAAGUCAAACAAAAGCAUGCUUAGAAGAGAAUCGUCUGGAAUCAGAAGUAUAAGCAGCAAAAUUAAAGGAGUAUUCAAAAGCACUACAAUGGAAGGGGCUGUGCUACCUGACUAUCUCCUCGCUGAAGGAGAGGAUGAUUUUAUUGAAGAAGGCAUUAUGGUAAUGGAAGACGAUUCACCUGUGGAGGCACUUAGUAUGCCUAAUACACCUCGCAAUCUUGCUGCUUGGAAAAUUACCAUUCCUUAUGUUGACUUCUUUGAAGACCCCUCCCUUGAAAAGAAAGAAAGGAGAGAGAGAAUUCCUGUAUUUUGCAUUGAUGUGGAAAGAAAUGACAGGCUGGCAAUUGGGCAUAAACCUGAACACUGGUCAGUCUAUAGAAGAUACUUUGAAUUUUAUGUGCUGGAAUCAAAGCUAACAGAAUUUCAUGGUACAUUCCCUGAUGCUCAGCUUCCCUCGAAGAGGAUUAUUGGACCAAAGAAUUAUGAAUUCCUAAAAUCAAAGAGAGAAGAAUUUCAAGAAUACCUUCAGAAACUUUCACAACAUCCAGAACUAAGCAACAGCCAACUUUUGGCUGACUUCUUAUCCCGUAAUGGUGGAGAGACACAGUUUCUUGAUAAAAUAUUGCCUGAUGUAAAUUUAGGUAAAAUUAUAAAAUCUGUUCCCGGAAAAUUAAUGAAAGAGAAAGGUCAGCACUUGGAACCAUUCAUUAUCAAUUUUAUUACCUCCUGUGAGUCUCCCAAGCCUAAACCAAGUAAACCAGAAAUUACUAUUCUCAGUCCUACUUCCGAAAACAACAAAAAGCUUUAUAAUGAACUCUAUAAGAACAAUGCAAACCGUUCUGAGAAUUUAGAAAGAAGACAGAAUGAGAACUAUUUCUUGAAGAUGAUGACAAUUGAAGGAGUUUAUGACUUCCUAAUGUAUAUUGCUAGAGUUGUUUUCCAUAUCCCUGACUGGCUUCAUCACAUCUUGAUGGGUGGAAGGAUUCUCUUCAAAAAUACCUUAGAAAAAUAUAUAGACAACUACUUGCAGUGCAAACUAGAACAACUCUUUCAGGAACACCGUCUGGUCUCACUGAUAACACUUCUCAGAGAUGCUGUAUUUUGUGAGAAUUCUCAACCUCGCUCUCUCCAAGAUAAGCACAAACGGGCAAAGCAGACCUUUGAAGAAAUGAUGAAAUACAUUCCAGGUUCAGUGUUUAUGUGGCAUGAUUUAUCAAGAAGAGAGGCAGUCUAAAUGACCAAAGUCCAUCAGCUCCAUGCAGAGUGCAUUAUAAUAAUCCAGUCUUGAAGUAACCAAGGCAUGAGUGACUGAAAGGCCUCCCAAUCAAAGGAGAAGGUACAAUUGGUUAUUGCAGGUAAUCAGAAGAUUAUCUAUGGUAAGAAAUAUACUGGCUGCCCAUGGUAUAUUUAAAGUGUACUGCUAAAAUGUUUUACAGAAAUCAGGUGUUCAGUCAAUUGCCAGCAACAGUUACGCUUUUCUAGAAUAGAUGUUUCGGCUGACAAAGCUUUUGGGGUCUGGUUUUAAGAUUGAAUUCCUUUUAUUUGAAUUGACUUACUCAUGUUUUGAUGUUUUUUGCAGAUCUGAUAGGUAAAUGUAUUGGGGAAGAUGCAAAAUAUGAAGGCAUAAGACUUCUAUUUGAUGGAUUGCAGCAGCCAGUUCUUAACAAACAGUUAACAUAUGUCCUACUGGAUAUUGGGAUUCAAGAACUAUUUCCAGAGUUGAAUG
RNA transcript from Crotalus tigris (Tiger rattlesnake), 3293 nucleotides. It is a transcript of the gene named sorting nexin 14, with no coding region annotated. Lineage: Eukaryota; Metazoa; Chordata; Lepidosauria; Squamata; Viperidae. The transcript has 27 exons. The record is from RefSeq and is a predicted model, not a curated record.